GCAUGCAAGUCGAACGAGUAAAGUUCCCUUCGGGGAGCGAGUACAGUGGCGAACGGGUGAGUAACGGGUGGAAAACCUGCCCUUCAAUGGGGGAUAACAGUUCUAACGAGCUGCUAAUACCGCAUACGACCUUUGGUCCGCAUGUUCCGAAGGUGAAAGGUGGCCUCUCUUUGAAGCUGCCGUUGAAGGAUGGUUCCGCCUCCCGUUAGCUUGUUGGUGGGGUAAUGGCCUACCAAGGCGACGAUGGGUAGCCGGCCUGAGAGGGUGU
This 268-nucleotide ribosomal RNA is filed under the name uncultured bacterium. RNAcentral's name for it is "partial 16S ribosomal RNA". It matches the Rfam family "Bacterial small subunit ribosomal RNA", at positions 53 to 303 of the family's 1533-position model. The record is from RNAcentral.